Molecule: ribosomal RNA, 2075 nt
Filed under: Sphenomonas cf. tristriata
Lineage: Eukaryota; Euglenozoa; Stavomonadea; Petalomonadida; Sphenomonadidae
Description: partial small subunit ribosomal RNA
Rfam family: Eukaryotic small subunit ribosomal RNA
Source: RNAcentral
CUGGUUGAUCCUGCCAGUCGUCAUAUGCUUGUUUCAAGGAUUAAGCCAUGCAAGUGUCAGAGUAACUGGAUUGAUAGGAGGUCUGCGUACGGCUCAUUAUAUCAUCAAUUAUCUACCCGGCGUAGCUGUUGUUGAACAGCCAGUUGGAUAACUUUGGUAACUCCAAAGCUAAUACACGUACGAAAAUGAUUGCCCCUUUCCAGCUCCAAAGGGAAACCUGAGGGGUGGGGGUGGUCAGCAGUUGGCCAGUACGACCAAACCAUCGCCUGAUGAAGGCAGCACUAACUGUUGAGGCAGGCCAAUAUUGCGAAAGGGCACUUCUUCGCGAAGGCCCGUUGCCGGACGAAUUUAUGCCCUAUCACGCUUUCGAUGGUAGGGUAGUGGCCUACCAUGGCUUUGACGGGUAACGGGGAAUUGGGGUUCGAUUCCGGAGAGGGUGCCUGAUAAACGGCAACCAUACCUAAGGGAAGCAGCAGGCGCGCAAAUUGCCCAAUGCCAACACUGGUGAGGCAGCGACGAAAAAUAACAACUUUGUCCUAUAUUCUAGGGCGAAGAUUGUAAUGGAUUGUAUCCAAACCCACUGCAGAGUAUCAAUUGGAGGGCAAGCCCGGUGCCAGCAGCCGCGGUAAUUCCGGCUCCAAUAGCGUAUAUUAAUGUUGUUGCGGUUAAAAAGCUCGUAGUUGGAUUCAGGGAUUUAUGGUUGUGUCGUGCCCCUGUCGACUGGCUCCGCUAGCCGGCUGCGUGGAUCCACACGUCACAUUAGACCAUAACCCUUUUUACGUGGUAAAGGUUGGGCUGCUGAAGCCUCCUUAAUUGGAGGUGGACGCACUUUCGCAGUGAACACACUGCUUACGCCCCGACCACGGCUGUUACUGUGAGUAAAACAGAGUGUUCAAAGCAACCGACUCGUCCGGUCUGAAUGAUUCAGCAUGGAAUAACAAGGGAUCGACCAUUUGGCUUCUUUUGUUGGUUUUCAAGCCAUUUUGUGGCAAUUCAGUUCAGGAGUCUCCCCAUUUUAUCCAACUCCUUCUGGUGUCUGGACUUAUAUGGUAGGGCCCUGUUUCUAUCGGGAUCAAUAGAGGCAGUUGGGGCCUUCCGUACUUCGUGGUGAGAGGUGAAAUUCUUAGACCCACGAAAGACGAACAACAGCGAAGGCAGUAGGCCAAUCUGCUUUCAUUAAUCAAGAACGAGAGUAAGGGGAUCGAAGAUGAUCAGAUACCGUCGUAGUCCUUUACCGUAAAUUAUGCGAACUUGGGAUUGGUUAUGCGAUAUCAGGCAUAAUCAGCACCUCCCUAUUUAUCGAGAAAUCAAAGUUUUUGCGUUCUGGGGGGAGUACAUUCGCAAGGCUGAAACUUAAAGGAAUUGACGGAAUGACACCACCAGACGUGGAGUGUGUGGCUUAAUUUGACUCAACACGGGGAAUUUUACCCGGACAGCACAUGAUUAGGAUUGUCAGAUUGAGAGCUCUUGCAUGAUUUCAUGGAGGGUGGUGCAUGGCCGUUCUUGGUUGGUGGAGUGAUUUGUCUGCUUAAUUGCGAUAACGAACGAGAUCUCUGCCAAUAAAUAGAUGCCUCUUCCGUUUGUACAUGAUGGCCCCGGCCGCUUGCGGUGGGGUUUCCCAGAGUGGAGGAGGAGGACUUUUACUUAUUGGGAUUAUGCAUUCUGCCAAAUGCAUUGAGACGAGAGCCAAUAGCAGGUCUGUGAUGCUCCUAAAUGUCCUGGGCCGCACGCGCACUACACUGAUCCAGACAGCAAGCUCAUGCUUAUGCAUCCUGAGUUGGAAAGCUUUGGGAAAUCUUUUAAGCCUGGAUCGUGAUGGGGAUAGAUGAUUGCAAUUAUUCCUCUUGAACGAGGAAUGUCUCGUAGUCCCGUUUCAUCAGAACGGAACGAUUAUGUCCCUGCCAUUUGUACACACCGCCCGUCGUUGCUACCGAUUGGUUGGCUGGUAGAACCAUUUGGAGGGGGCUCUUGACGUUCUUUGAACCGAUCGAGUCUGCUAAAUUUGGUGAUAUUGGCUAACUGUAGGAAGCAAAAGUCGUAACAAGGUUACUGUAGGUGAACCUGCAGAAGGAUCA